GGGUCUCUAGCUCAGUGGUAGAGCAGCUGGCUGCAGAUAAUCAGGUCUCCUGGUUCCAAUCCCGAGGGGCCCU
Molecule: transfer RNA, 73 nt
Filed under: Pleodorina starrii
Lineage: Eukaryota; Viridiplantae; Chlorophyta; Chlorophyceae; Chlamydomonadales; Volvocaceae
Description: tRNA-Cys
Rfam family: tRNA
About the family: Transfer RNA (tRNA) molecules are approximately 80 nucleotides in length.
Source: RNAcentral